Long non-coding RNA from Thrips palmi, 1006 nucleotides. RefSeq lists it as uncharacterized. The transcript has 3 exons. The record is from RefSeq and is a predicted model, not a curated record. NCBI's taxonomy places the organism in Eukaryota, Metazoa, Arthropoda, Insecta, Thysanoptera, Thripidae.
CCCUGACGCCGGCGCGCUCGGCCGCCGCCGCCCGCCCCCAAGCUGCAUUCACCCCUCCCGUCGGCGUGGUCAGCGGGUCGCAGACCACCUUCUUGUCCAGCUACGGGGACGGUGACGUCACCCUGACCAACUCGACGCGCAGCACGCGCAGCCACGUGAGCGUCGGCAUUGAAGUGAUUCAGGUCCAGGGCAGCCGCUUCCCCCGGCCCAGCAGCCGGCCCCCGACGCCCAAGGAACCCAAGGAACCCAAGGACUCUAAAGAAUCUGACAGCGACAGCGACCGGCUCACGGACCUUUACAGCCCGGAGGCGGAGGGGUAGCUAUCAGUGCAUCCCUUUCCUUGCUGACCUUGCACAGGAUGUGACGUUUCAUUUGUCUGUUGCAAGCACACUGUGCAUUUUUUUAAGUCAAUGCUUGACAAUGAGUUUUGUUUAUAGUCUUUUCUUCCCACAUGAGAUGUAUUUUUUUAAGAAGAGAAUGCGAUUAUUCUUCAACCCCAAGCGUUUUCUCUAUGAUAUAAUUUUUUUUGACUAGUCACUUAAUUAAAGAUUAAGUCUGUGCCAGUGUCUAUCAAUAAGCCAAACAAUUCUAGGACAUAAUUAUUUAAACAAGGCGUAGCCCUGUUGUGGUGUUUUCUGUUUCAAUAUGACACAAAAUGAUUUUCUAAACAAGGCCUAGCCGAGUGUCUGCAGUCUCCAUAUGACAUGUCAUUAUGUAGAAUAUAACUACCCAAUCAACCCUGAGACCUGUUUCUGUGAUAUUUUGUCAAUGAAACAUGUAUUUUAAGAAUAACUCCCUUAGCUGAGUGUUUUCAGUCUCAAUGUACCAUAUUUUUUUAAAUGAUUUAAUUAGUUAGUGAACCCUUAUACCCUUUUCUGUGAUUUCUGUGAUUCUCAGUGUGUCAUAUUUUUAGAAUAAUUUUCCGAACAAGGCUUAGCCCAGAGUUUUAGUCUUCAGUGUGCCAUAUGCCAUAUAUUUUUAGGAUUUAAGUCCUUAGACCCGCUUC